RNAcentral lists this long non-coding RNA (1211 nucleotides) under Astyanax mexicanus (Mexican tetra). Its description in RNAcentral is "lncRNA (ENSAMXG00005020814.1)". Lineage: Eukaryota; Metazoa; Chordata; Actinopteri; Characiformes; Acestrorhamphidae. The record is from RNAcentral.
GAAGCCUGGGUGAAAUUAAAAGCAUGUUUAAAUUUAAGGACAAACCCAACUCUUACUUUUUCCAAAAAGAUAUAUAUUAUAUUUCAAAUAUUUGUGUACAUACUAAUUAUAUCAUACAGCCUGUUCACAACCUUUUUUUCCAUUUUUAAACAGUGGCACAGUGUUUGCUUCAGUAAAGCCGUUCACACUACACUUUUUAAACCCUUCAACAUCCAGGAGCUGCUAGCGGACGCAAGUUUCCAUUCCAUGCUGCUACUCCCCCUUAUACUAGUGCUCGGAGGAAAGCACAGCGACUCGGUUUUAAUACAUCAGCUCACAGACGCCUUGUGCUGAGGACCAUCACCCUUUGGAGUGAUGAGAGGAAAGAGCGCCAUCUACCCACCCAGAGAGAGAGCAAGGCCAGUUGUGCUCUUUCAGGGCUCCGGCAGCUGGUGGCAAGCUGCAUGAACGGGAUUCGAACCAGCAAUCUAUCGAUCAUAAUGGCAGUGCUUAACCCACUGGAACACUCUGAUUAAUCUUACUGUAAACUUUUUUUAUUACAGUGUAGUUUUUUUUCCCAAUAGUUAGCUUAUGCAGAAAAAAGCAAAUAGCUAGCAUUAAAGAUAAGAAGCAGGGUGUUCUACUUAAAAUUUCCUAAUUGGACCGCAUGGAUGGAACGCAGCAUGAGUAUGUACAGUAUCUUUCAUCCUUGAGUAUACUCUAACACUUUAACAUUUAUUUAUAAUACUUACACUACAAAAGUUUUAGAACACCCCUAUAUUUUAGUUAUCCAGUAGCCAUUCUGCAUGACCCUGACAAGUUGCUUUUUUAUCUUAGAAAUUACUUUUUUUUUACUGUUUAUUACUGGUAAAACUAGUUAGUAAUGAUAACUAGUAUGCAAUUGGGACAGGGCACAUCCAACAUCUUAAUACAUUAACUGUGGGUAUGCAAGCAGUGGGUGGUUUUGGGGUUUCCUAAUGGCUGUAGUAAGAACUUUGCAUUGUCUAUGUGGUGUAGUGGGAAAAUAAUAAUGAAUGAGAAACAUAUUAAACAUGGAAAUAACAUAUAAAUGUACGUUUUAUUCUAAAAGCAACUAACUUCAGAAAAUCCUUGUGUAAUUACUGAUUAACACACCUUGGCAGUUAAUUUGGAUAAAGCUAUGUCUGUAACAGAACUCAAUGGAAGCCAACAAAAUUUGACAUGUAAACAAUUAAAAUAAUAGUUAAAAAAAG